RNAcentral lists this ribosomal RNA (510 nucleotides) under uncultured bacterium. Its description in RNAcentral is "bacterial SSU rRNA". It matches the Rfam family "Bacterial small subunit ribosomal RNA", at positions 381 to 885 of the family's 1533-position model. The record is from RNAcentral.
GCCUGAUCCAGCAAUGCCGCGUGAGUGAAGAAGGCCUUCGGGUUGUAAAGCUCUUUCAGUUGAGAAGAAAAAGUACGUGACUAAUAAUCAUGAUUCAUGACGGUAUCAACAGAAGAAGCACCGGCUAACUACGUGCCAGCAGCCGCGGUAAUACGUAGGGUGCAAGCGUUAAUCGGAAUUACUGGGCGUAAAGGGUGCGCAGGCGGUUCUGUAAGUCAGAUGUGAAAUCCCCGGGCUUAACCUGGGAACUGCGUUUGAAACUGCAGAGCUAGAGUGCAGCAGAGGGAGGUGGAAUUCCAUGUGUAGCAGUGAAAUGCGUAGAGAUAUGGAAGAACAUCGAUGGCGAAGGCAACCUCCUGGGCUAGCACUGACGCUCAUGCACGAAAGCGUGGGGAGCAAACAGGAUUAGAUACCCUGGUAGUCCACGCCUAAACUAUGUCAACUAGUUGUCGGGUCUUAUUAGACUUGGUAACGUAGCUAACGCGUGAAGUUGACCGCCUGGGAGUACGG